AGACCCAGGUUUGUUUCGUUUAAAGGAGGAUGCAAUUCUGUCCGUGAAUGCAUUUUCUCUAAAUGUUGGCUUCAUCCCUCCUUUGGUAGAGCAUGUCAACGGAUUUGCUAAUGGCAAAGAAGGGAAAACAGAAGCAAAGAAAACUGUUUCAAAAGUCUUGGAAUUGCUACUGUUAAAAGGCUGCGGUUCAUUUCUGAUUUCCUCAUCUUUUGCUACAAAGGAAAAAGAAAUCCAAUGAUGUGUCUACCUUUGGUGAGAAGAAAACACGAGCAACAGCAGUGUAGGUGUGUUUGUUUGUUUUUCUUUUUUCCUGGAAAAAUAUUUUUAAUAUUCACCAAUUAGCGAGUUGAAAGCUGUGGAGAUGUAAAAGAUGUUCUCUUGUCCACAUCUAUUUGUUGAGUUUCGUCAAUGGAGUUUUGUAGGCAUUUGUACCAGAUAGAAAUGGAGAGAAAGAGAAUUAAACACUUGCCAAGGAACAAUAUAUACACUUUCAGGUAACUCCACCUAAUCCUGUAUUUGAGUGCUGAUAGGGAGGAGGAGGGGGUGCUAUUUUCCCCUCACAAACCCCCCAAAGCCGUAUUAGACAGAAAGAGGGGGUGAGAACUCUAUGACUGAGCAUUCUGACAAAAAUGGAAGCAGCACCUCUCUGCUCCUAGACCCCUAAGGAAAGACGCCCCCAAAAUGUGCAAAAGCCGUUAUGUUUCCUUUAGAGUCCUGAGUUGGGUGGACCUUUCAGAGACAUACACAGUCAUUAAUAUUUUAA
Molecule: long non-coding RNA, 763 nt
Filed under: Homo sapiens (human)
Lineage: Eukaryota; Metazoa; Chordata; Mammalia; Primates; Hominidae
Description: non-protein coding lnc-MEIS2-1:6
Source: RNAcentral